CGAGGUGCGGGUGCUAUAAUGCAGUCGAGCGGACAGAUGGGAGCUUGCUCCCUGAUGUUAGCGGCGGACGGGUGAGUAACACGUGGGUAACCUGCCUGUAAGACUGGGAUAACUCCGGGAAACCGGGGCUAAUACCGGAUGCUUGAUUGAACCGCAGGUUCAAUUAUAAAAGGUGGCUUUUAGCUACCACUUACAGAUGGACCCGCGGCGCAUUAGCUAGUUGGUGAGGUAACGGCUCACCAAGGCAACAAUGCGUAGCCAACCUGAGAGGGUGAUCGGCCACACUGGGACUGAAACACGGCCCAAACUCCUACGGGAGGCAGCAGUAGGGAAUCUUCCGCAAUGGACAAAAGUCUGACGGAGCAACGCCGCGUGAGUGAUGAAGGUUUUCGGAUCGUAAAACUCUGUUGUUAGGGAAAAACAAGUACCGUUCAAAUAGGGCGGUACCUUGACGGUACCUAACCAAAAAGCCACGGCUAACUACGUGCCAGCAGCCGCGGUAAUACGUAGGUGGCAAGCGUUGUCCGGAAUUAUUGGGCGUAAAGCGCGCGCAGGCGGUUUCUUAAGUCUGAUGUGAAAGCCCCCGGCUCAACCGGGGAGGGUCAUUGGAAACUGGGGAACUUGAGUGCAGAAAAGGAGAGUGGAAUUCCACGUGUAGCGGUGAAAUGCGUAGAGAUGUGGAGGAACACCAGUGGCGAAGGCGACUCUCUGGUCUGUAACUGACGCUGAGGCGCGAAAGCGUGGGGAGCGAACAGGAUUAGAUACCCUGGUAGUCCACGCCGUAAACGAUGAGUGCUAAGUGUUAGAGGGUUUCCGCCCUUUAGUGCUGCAGCAAACGCAUUAAGCACUCCGCCUGGGGGAGUACGGUCGCAAGACUAAAACUCAAAUGAAUUGACGGGGGCCCGCACAAGCGGUGGAGCAUGUGGUUUAAUUCGAUGCAACGCGAAGAACCUUACCUGGUCUUGACAUAGUAAGAACUUUCCAGAGAUGGAUUGGUGCCUUCGGGAACUUACAUACAGGUGCUGCAUGGCUGUCGUCAGCUCGUGUCGUGAGAUGUUGGGUUAAGUCCCGCAACGAGCGCAACCCUUUUCCUUAUUUGCCAGCGGGUUAAGCCGGGAACUUUAAGGAUACUGCCAGUGACAAACUGGAGGAAGGCGGGGACGACGUCAAGUCAUCAUGGCCCUUACGACCAGGGCUACACACGUGCUACAAUGGUCGGUACAAAGGGUUGCUACCUCGCGAGAGGAUGCUAAUCUCAAAAAGCCGAUCGUAGUCCGGAUUGGAGUCUGCAACUCGACUCCAUGAAGUCGGAAUCGCUAGUAAUCGCGGAUCAGAAUGCCGCGGUGAAUACGUUCCCGGGCCUUGUACACACCGCCCGUCACACCAUGGGAGUUUGUUGCACCAGAAGUAGGUAGUCUAACCGUUAAGGAGGACGCUACCACGGUUGCAGAGUUCCC
RNAcentral lists this ribosomal RNA (1457 nucleotides) under Bacillus licheniformis. RNAcentral describes it as "bacterial SSU rRNA". It matches the Rfam family "Bacterial small subunit ribosomal RNA". The record is from RNAcentral. Lineage: Bacteria; Bacillati; Bacillota; Bacilli; Caryophanales; Bacillaceae.